RNAcentral lists this ribosomal RNA (870 nucleotides) under Strombomonas borystheniensis. RNAcentral describes it as "partial large subunit ribosomal RNA". It matches the Rfam family "Eukaryotic large subunit ribosomal RNA", at positions 2170 to 2914 of the family's 3401-position model. Lineage: Eukaryota; Euglenozoa; Euglenophyceae; Euglenales; Euglenaceae. The record is from RNAcentral.
CCAGCUGGCUGGUUCCAUGAGGUGACUUCUGCCCAGUGCUCUGAUUGUCAAUGCGAAGAGAUUCAGCCAAGCGCGGGUAAACGGCGGGAGUAACUAUGACUCUCUUAAGGUAGCCAAAUGCCUCGUCAACCAAUUAUUGACGCGCAUGAAUGGAUCAACGAGAUUCCUGCUGUCCCUAGUUGCUGUCUGGUGAACCAACAGCCAAGGGAACGGGCUUGGAUGUGUCAGCGGGGAAAGAAGACCCUGUUGAGUUUGACUCUAGUUUGAUGCUGUGCAACGACAUGUUGGGUGUAGCAUAGGUGGGAGGCAAGUGCCAUUGCCACAGUGGAGUUGUGAGAGACCAAGUGCCUUGGUGCAAGCCAGCAGUGAAAUACCACUACCUUCACCGUCGUAGUGCUCAUUGAGUGAUCUGGGAACGGCAGCCCUUAGACAUCAGCCUGUCCCUUGCGGAUGGGUUGUGGCCCAUCCCCGCUUCGUGCGCAAAGUGAAGUACUCUGUGCUUCGCGACCCUGGAUGCUGCAGUCCAAUCAGAAGCCUCAAGACACUGAUCAGUUGGGGAGUUUGGCUGGGGCGGCACGCCUGUUACAUCACAACGCAGGCGUCCUGAAGCAAUGCUCAGAUGGAACAGAAAUCUCCCAUGGAGGAGCAGGCCAAAGGUGCUGCUGAUGCUGCUGCUCUCAGUACGAGCACAAAACGUGCAAGCGUGGCCUUGCGAUCCUUUGGUUAAGUGCACGAGUUCAGGAUACUGAAGCCAGAGGUGUCAGAAAAAUUACCACAGGGAUAACUGGCUUGUGGCAGCCAAGCGUUCAAAGCGACGUUGCUUUUUGAUCCUUCGAUGUCGGCUCUUCCUAGCUUCCCACCCGCAGCCGA